AGUGAACGCUGGCGGUAGGCCUAACACAUGCAAGUCGAACGGCAGCACAGUAAGAGCUUGCUCUUACGGGUGGCGAGUGGCGGACGGGUGAGGAAUACAUCGGAAUCUACUUUUUCGUGGGGGAUAACGUAGGGAAACUUACGCUAAUACCGCAUACGACCUACGGGUGAAAGCAGGGGAUCUUCGGACCUUGCGCGAUUGAAUGAGCCGAUGUCGGAUUAGCUAGUUGGCGGGGUAAAGGCCCACCAAGGCGACGAUCCGUAGCUGGUCUGAGAGGAUGAUCCGCCGCCCUUGAAAUGGGACACGGUCCAGACUCCUACGGGAGGCAGCAGUGGGGAAUAUUGGACAAUGGGCGCAAGCCUGAUCCAGCCAUACCGCGUGGGUGAAGAAGGCCUUCGGGUUGUAAAGCCCUUUUGUUGGGAAAGAAAAGCAGCAGGUUAAUACCCCGCUGUUCUGACGGUACCCAAAGAAUAAGCACCGGCUAACUUCGUG
RNAcentral lists this ribosomal RNA (492 nucleotides) under uncultured bacterium. RNAcentral describes it as "partial 16S ribosomal RNA". It matches the Rfam family "Bacterial small subunit ribosomal RNA", at positions 29 to 507 of the family's 1533-position model. The record is from RNAcentral.